UCCUACGGGGGGCAGCAGUGGGGGAUAUUGCACAAUGGGGGAAACCCUGAUGCAGCGACGCCGCGUGAGCGAUGAAGUAUUUCGGUAUGUAAAGCUCUAUCAGCAGGGAAGAAAAUGACGGUACCUGACUAAGAAGCCCCGGCUAACUACGUGCCAGCAGCCGCGGUAAUACGUAGGGGGCAAGCGUUAUCCGGAUUUACUGGGUGUAAAGGGAGCGUAGACGGCAGUGCAAGUCUGAAGUGAAAGUCAAGGGCUCAACCCUUGGACUGCCUUGGAAACUGCGCUGCUCGAGUGUCGGAGAGGCA
RNAcentral lists this ribosomal RNA (305 nucleotides) under uncultured bacterium. Its description in RNAcentral is "bacterial SSU rRNA". It matches the Rfam family "Bacterial small subunit ribosomal RNA", at positions 337 to 659 of the family's 1533-position model. The record is from RNAcentral.